GCUCCGUAGGUGAACCAGCGGAGGGAUCAUUACAGAGUUCUCGCCAUCGCGGGUAGACCUUGCACACACUGUUAGCGGUACUGUGUUGCUCUGGCGGGCCGCCUGCCCCCGCCCCGCCGCCGGCGCCGGCGGCCGCGCCCCCGCCAGAGGCCCAGCAAACUUUGAAUGCUAUGGUUGUCUGAUUCCUAUAUAAUAAAUAAAACUUUCAACAACGGAUUGCCUGGUGCUUGCAUCGAGGACGAACGCAAUCGAACGGAAGAGCGCCUGACUGAACUCCAC
This 279-nucleotide unclassified non-coding RNA is filed under the name plant metagenome. RNAcentral's name for it is "partial contains small subunit ribosomal RNA, internal transcribed spacer 1, and 5.8S ribosomal RNA". The record is from RNAcentral.